CAUUUUACGAGGUGCUGCAUGGUGUCGUCAGCUCGUGCCGUGAGGUGUCGGGUUAAGUCCCAUAACGAGCGCAACCCCUUACCUUUAGUUGCCAUCAGGUAAUGCUGGGGACUCUAAAGGAACUGCCUACGCAAGUAGUGAGGAAGGCGGGGAUGACGUCAAAUCAGCACGGCCCUUACGUCCAGGGCUACACACGUGCUACAAUGGCCGAUACAGAGGGCAGCUACCUGGUGACAGGAUGCAAAUCUCCAAAGUCGGUCUCAGUUCGGAUCGGAGUCUGCAACCCGACUCCGUGAAGUUGGAUUCGCUAGUAAUCGCGCAUCAGCCAUGGCGCGGUGAAUACGUUCCCGGGCCUU
This 356-nucleotide ribosomal RNA is filed under the name uncultured Sphingobacteriales bacterium. RNAcentral's name for it is "bacterial SSU rRNA". It matches the Rfam family "Bacterial small subunit ribosomal RNA", at positions 1027 to 1382 of the family's 1533-position model. Lineage: Bacteria; Pseudomonadati; Bacteroidota; Sphingobacteriia; Sphingobacteriales. The record is from RNAcentral.